CCUACGGGAGGCAGCAGUGGGGGAUAUUGCACAAUGGGGGAAACCCUGAUGCAGCGACGCCGCGUGAGGGAUGAAGUAUUUCGGUUUGUAAAGCUCUAUCAGCAGGGAAGAAAAUGACAGUACCUGACCAAGAAGCCCCGGCUAACUACGUGCCAGCAGCCGCGGUAAUACGUAGGGGGCAAGCGUUAGUCGGAUUUACUGGGCGUAAAGGGAGCGUAGACGGUUUUGUAAGUCUGGAGUGAAAGCCCGGUGCCCAACCACGGGACUGCUUUGGAAACUGUGUAACUGGAGUACAGGAGGGGCAGGCGGAAUUCCUGGUGUAGGGGUGAAAUGCGUAGAUAUCAGGAGGAACACCGGCGGCGAAGGCGACCUGCUGGACUAAAACUGACGUUGAGGCUCGAAAGCGUGGGGAGCAAACAGGAUUAGAUACCCUUGUAGUC
RNAcentral lists this ribosomal RNA (440 nucleotides) under uncultured bacterium. RNAcentral's name for it is "partial 16S ribosomal RNA". It matches the Rfam family "Bacterial small subunit ribosomal RNA", at positions 338 to 795 of the family's 1533-position model. The record is from RNAcentral.